UUGACCUCGAAUCAGGUAGGGA
Molecule: ribosomal RNA, 22 nt
Filed under: Galiella rufa
Lineage: Eukaryota; Fungi; Ascomycota; Pezizomycetes; Pezizales; Sarcosomataceae
Also listed under: 1 other name
Description: partial 26S ribosomal RNA
Source: RNAcentral